AAGGAAUAUGAUAUUUUAUGAGAUGAUAUUUCCUUGGAGAUUAUUAACCAACAUUGCUGAUAAUAACAAUAUUUCAAGUUGAGCCUUCACAGAACUAAAAAGCAUAAAAAACACACGUCCUAUAUAAAUAGACACACAAGAUAACCAAAUAGAUGAUAAAGACACAACCCAACUUCCUCCAAUACUAGUGUUUGAUAAAGAAGAAACUCUUGACAUUUCUAUACAAGAUAACUACAACUCCAAUGAUUGUCGUCCAAUAAGGAAAUUAACUAGGGUUAGAAGGGUCUUUCCUAUCAAAGGACUUCGUGUAUGAAUAAGUUAAUGCUUACAUUACCCGCUCACAACAAUAUGAUGAUAAAAAUGCAUUAGCAGGU
This 374-nucleotide long non-coding RNA is filed under the name Carica papaya (papaya). Its description in RNAcentral is "long non-coding RNA (CPAP_LNC006111)". The record is from RNAcentral. Lineage: Eukaryota; Viridiplantae; Streptophyta; Magnoliopsida; Brassicales; Caricaceae.